GACAAUCUGUGAAAAAAUGGAUCUCCUCUGCCUUCUCCCAGUGCCUACUAGAAACAACCAAUCAGAGCCAGGAGGCGGGUCUGAGCACGGCCAAUCACAAGCUCCAGUGGGGUGACUCAUCCUCUCCCCUUUCAUCUCUGCGACGCCGCCGCUAACACGUAAUGUUUAGAAUGCUAAGGCUAGUUAGCACGUACGCAGAAGACGGCAAAUUAACGUUUUUCCUGUAACUCGGCUGUAACACUGACGGAGUUAAUUCACUGACUCCGCCCCGAGAAUCACAGACGGAUUCUGUCCGAGCGACCAGCUGUGGAGCAGAGAUCUCACUUUCCAUGGUACAAGACCCCUUUUCCAAGAAAGCUGCCUCAUCAUGUUGUUUUCCCGACACAGAACUAUCACGCUUUUCAACUAUUUCAGUGGAAGAUUCUGCAGUCAUGCAAAUAGAUGUUGCUUAGAAAUGUUCUUCUGGGGUCGUAUUCACAUCCUUACAUCCUUGUAUCUUCUCUGGUAGAUGCACAAUCUCCAGUGUUUCAAAGGUGGAUUCUUUUUUUGGUGGCCCAUGGAGUGGUUUCUGGAGAAAUCAUUUGACCUAUUGGGCCUAAGUCAUACACCCAAUUUCCAUAUGAUAUGAUUUUGUUGUCGUUGUCAUCCUCCCAUAUUCCUGGUGUCUUCUUGACACGGUUACUCUUAGAUGGUCCGUUUCUUCUCUCUCACUGUCUCCAGUGUUUCAGAGGUGGACUCUUUUUUUGGUCACCAGUGAAGCAUCUUGCUUUUGGGUAUUUUUGUCUGAAACCUUUUCAUCAAGGGGGCGUGCAACUCCAACCAGGCCUGAAGUGGUAUCAUCUUCUUCUGCUUACGCUUAAGUGGCUGUUUCUCUCUGAGUUCAUCCACGGUCUUCUGUGUUUCAGAGACAGAUUUGUUCUUAGUGACCACUGAUGGGUUUUCAGCAGAAAUUGUUUCACCUACUGGGGGUAGUUCAUCCACCCAGUUUCCAACAGAUAUAAUUUCCUUAUUGUUGUUGGUCACAGGUGGCCGUUUCUCCCCUUGCUCAUCCACUCUCUCUUGAGUUUGAGAGAUUGCUUCUUUUACAGGGACCACUGAAUCGUCUAGGUUUUCAGGAUUUUCCGGAAAACGAUGUUUGUUUUCCUCAAACCAAGUGCUGAACGGCACCUUCUUCUUGAGCCACCUGGCACUAGGCGGCUCAACUUCUCUUAUGCUAAUCUUGUUGGAUGUUUCCAUUUCAGUGAUUGGCUGGUUUGACUGUAUUCUUUCAGAUUUUGAGUUAAAUCAGUCUUCAAAGUUGAGAAACUUAUUUGGAACUGUGAAACGAAUUUGCAGGUGAAACGUAUCAUGAACGGCUGCUAGACGGUUGUGAUAAAAUUUGGUCGAUAUGAAAAGCUUAAAUACAACAAUUUAUGUCACAAAAUUCUGAGCCUUUUUAGGUCCCUGGUUCUGAUGCUGCUGGAUGAAGAGAUGACACUCUCAACGACAGACUUAUAGAAGAUUUGCAGCAUCUUGCUGCAAACCUUGAAGUAUCCGAGCUUCCUCAAGAAGUACAGUCUGCUCUGUCCCUGCUUAUGGACGGCUUCUCUGUUGCAUCUCCAGGAUCAGAUCCAGGGACCUAAAAAGGUUCAACAACUUGAUAAAGAAGCUGAUUCUGUUCUGGGGACGACUGUGAAACCGUGGAGGUGAUGAUGCAAAGGAUUCUUUAUAAAACCAAUAAAAUUAUGGACAACCCUGACCAUCCUGUUCAUGAGACUGACUAGGGAAAACGGUGUCUUCAGUCAGAGGCUUCUUCAGAUUCACUGUAAUACAGGCCUGUAGAGGAGAUCUUUCCUGCCAACAACCAUCGCAAUCCACAAUAACUCUUAAGAAUCUGAAUUAAUGAGUUACUACAUUUAAUUCCCCUUUGUGAUCAAUAAAGUAUUUUUGAAUUUGAAUUCUAUAUUUUUAAAUGGCUGGUUGAUAUCACAAAAUUUCAAAUUCCUUUAAACCUUGAAUUCUUAGAUAAGUUGAAAAGGAGGCAUCAUGAACGUACUGCAGGAGCACAGGGAAGGAAGAAAUUUAAACUAUUAGUUUUGUUAUACAUAAGCGGUAAAAUUAGAUUUUUAGUACACAAAUUGAAUGAAUUCCUGUUAUUCUGGGCUAAGAAAGGGCCCAGAAUAGCAGGAAUGCAGUAUUGUAUGCUAUGAAGCAUUGCUGCAAGUUCACAUCCCUAACUCCAACAUCAGGGAUAUUUCUUACCUGUGGUCCGGGCCGUUACUCAGUGGUCCCAAAUCUCCUUUUAAAUUAAAGUUUGCAUUUCAUUUAAAAAUCAAAGAGAAGAGAAGUGCAGAA
This is a long non-coding RNA of Xiphophorus couchianus (Monterrey platyfish), 2334 nucleotides long. RefSeq lists it as uncharacterized. The transcript has 3 exons. The record is from RefSeq and is a predicted model, not a curated record. NCBI's taxonomy places the organism in Eukaryota, Metazoa, Chordata, Actinopteri, Cyprinodontiformes, Poeciliidae.